Molecule: ribosomal RNA, 497 nt
Filed under: uncultured bacterium
Lineage: Bacteria
Description: partial 16S ribosomal RNA
Rfam family: Bacterial small subunit ribosomal RNA
Source: RNAcentral
GACGAACGCUGGCGGCGUGCUUAACACAUGCAAGUCGAACGGUGAAGCGCCUUCCUUUUUGGUGGGUGUGGAUGAGUGGCGAACGGGUGAGUAACACGUGAGUAACCUGCCCCCACCUUCUGGAUAACCGCAAGCAAGUGUGGCUAAUACGGGAUAUUCUGGGUCUGUCGCAUGAUGGGUCUGGGAAAGAUUUUGUUUCGGUGGGGGAUGGGCUCGCGGCGGAUUAGCUAGUUGGUGGGGUGAUGGCCUACCAAGGCGGCGAUGGGUAGCCGGCCUGAGAGGGUGGUCGGCGGUCCCACUGCGGCUGCGCCGCCGCCACGACUCCGACGGGCAGCAGUAGGGAAUAUUAUUGCACAGGGGGCGGCAGGCUGGUGCAGCGCCGCGUCGGUGGUGAUGGUCGUCUGCGGGUUGUGAUCCUCUAUCGCGAGAGAAGCAAUCCGGCCUCGUUUGUGGGUGUGUUGACGGUAGCUGGAUAAAAAGCGCCGGCUAACUACGUG